This 435-nucleotide ribosomal RNA is filed under the name uncultured bacterium. RNAcentral describes it as "partial 16S ribosomal RNA". It matches the Rfam family "Bacterial small subunit ribosomal RNA", at positions 29 to 507 of the family's 1533-position model. The record is from RNAcentral.
AGCGAACGCUGGCGGCAGGCCUAACACAUGCCAGUCGAACGCAUCACUUCGGUUUGGAGUGGCAGACGGGUGCGGAACGCGUGGGAACGUACCCUUCGAUCUGGGAUAACUGCGGGAAACUGGAGCUAAUACCGGAUACUCCCGUUUGGGUAAAGAUUGACUGUCUAAGGAUCGGCCGGCGUCGGAUUAGCUAGUUGGUGGGGUAACGGCGUACCAAGGCGACGAGCAGUAGCUGGUCUGAGAGGAUGAUCAGCCACACUGGGACUGAGACACGGCCCAGACUCCUACGGGAGGCAGCAGUGGGGAAUAUUGGACAAUGGGCGCAAGCCUGAUCCAGCCAUGCCGCGUGAGUGAUGAAGGCCUUAGGGUUGUAAAGCUCUUUUGUCCGGGACGAUAAUGACGGUACCGGAAGAAUAAGCCCCGGCUAACUUCGUG